UGAGUUUGAUCCUGGCUCAGAUUGAACGCUGGCGGCAUGCCUUACACAUGCAAGUCGAACGGCAGCACGGGUGCUUGCACCUGGUGGCGAGUGGCGAACGGGUGAGUAAUACAUCGGAACAUGUCCUGUAGUGGGGGAUAGCCCGGCGAAAGCCGGAUUAAUACCGCAUACGAUCUACGGAUGAAAGCGGGGGACCUUCGGGCCUCGCGCUAUAGGGUUGGCCGAUGGCUGAUUAGCUAGUUGGUGGGGUAAAGGCCUACCAAGGCGACGAUCAGUAGCUGGUCUGAGAGGACGACCAGCCACACUGGGACUGAGAUACGGCCCAGACUCCUACGGGAGGCAGCAGUGGGGAAUUUUGGACAAUGGGCGAAAGCCUGAUCCAGCAAUGCCGCGUGUGUGAAGAAGGCCUUCGGGUUGUAAAGCACUUUUGUCCGGAAAGAAAUCCUUGGCUCUAAUACAGUCGGGGGAUGACGGUACCGGAAGAAUAAGCACCGGCUAACUACGUGCCAGCAGCCGCGGUAAUACGUAGGGUGCGAGCGUUAAUCGGAAUUACUGGGCGUAAAGCGUGCGCAGGCGGUUUGCUAAGACCGAUGUGAAAUCCCCGGGCUCAACCUGGGAACUGCAUUGGUGACUGGCAGGCUAGAGUAUGGCAGAGGGGGGUAGAAUUCCACGUGUAGCAGUGAAAUGCGUAGAGAUGUGGAGGAAUACCGAUGGCGAAGGCAGCCCCCUGGGCCAAUACUGACGCUCAUGCACGAAAGCGUGGGGAGCAAACAGGAUUAGAUACCCUGGUAGUCCACGCCCUAAACGAUGUCAACUAGUUGUUGGGGAUUCAUUUCCUUAGUAACGUAGCUAACGCGUAAAGUUGACCGCCUGGGGAGUACGGUCGCAAGAUUAAAACUCAAAGGAAUUGACGGGGACCCGCACAAGCGGUGGAUGAUGUGGAUUAAUUCGAUGCAACGCGAAAAACCUUACCUACCCUUGACAUGGUCGGAAUCCUGCUGAGAGGCGGGAGUGCUCGAAAGAGAACCGGCGCACAGGUGCUGCAUGGCUGUCGUCAGCUCGUGUCGUGAGAUGUUGGGUUAAGUCCCGCAACGAGCGCAACCCUUGUCCUUAGUUGCUACGCAAGAGCACUCUAAGGAGACUGCCGGUGACAAACCGGAGGAAGGUGGGGAUGACGUCAAGUCCUCAUGGCCCUUAUGGGUAGGGCUUCACACGUCAUACAAUGGUCGGAACAGAGGGUUGCCAACCCGCGAGGGGGAGCUAAUCCCAGAAAACCGAUCGUAGUCCGGAUUGCACUCUGCAACUCGAGUGCAUGAAGCUGGAAUCGCUAGUAAUCGCGGAUCAGCAUGCCGCGGUGAAUACGUUCCCGGGUCUUGUACACACCGCCCGUCACACCAUGGGAGUGGGUUUUACCAGAAGUUGCUAGUCUAACCGCAAGGAGGACGGUCACCUCGGUAGGAUUCAUGACUGGGGUGAAGUCGUAACAAGGU
Molecule: ribosomal RNA, 1490 nt
Filed under: uncultured beta proteobacterium
Lineage: Bacteria; Pseudomonadati; Pseudomonadota; Betaproteobacteria
Description: 16S ribosomal RNA
Rfam family: Bacterial small subunit ribosomal RNA
Source: RNAcentral